AGGCCUUCACUGUGAUCUGCAGA
RNAcentral lists this microRNA (23 nucleotides) under Ascaris suum (pig roundworm). RNAcentral describes it as "Asu-Bantam-o1_5p* (star (passenger))". Lineage: Eukaryota; Metazoa; Nematoda; Chromadorea; Rhabditida; Ascarididae. The record is from RNAcentral.